GCAUAACGCGAAGAACCUUACCAAGGCUUGACAUACACCAGAACACCCUGGAAACAGGGGACUCCUUGGACACUGGUGAACAGGUGGUGCAUGGUUGUCGUCAGCUCGUGUCGUGAGAUGUUGGGUUAAGUCCCGCAACGAGCGCAACCCUCGUUCUAUGUUGCCAGCACGUUAUGGUGGGAACUCAUGGGAUACUGCCGGGGUCAACUCGGAGGAAGGUGGGGGAUGACGUCAAAUCAUCAUGCCCCUUAUGUCUUGGGCUUCACGCAUGCUACAAUGGCCGGUACAAUGGGCUGCGAUACCGUAAGGUGGAGCGAAUCCCAAAAAGCCGGUCCCAGUUCGGAUUGAGGUCUGCAACUCGACCUCAUGAAGUCGGAGUCGCUAGUAAUCGCAGAUCAGCAACGCUGCGGUGAAUACGUUCCCGGGUC
Molecule: ribosomal RNA, 428 nt
Filed under: uncultured bacterium
Lineage: Bacteria
Description: bacterial SSU rRNA
Rfam family: Bacterial small subunit ribosomal RNA
Source: RNAcentral